RNAcentral lists this ribosomal RNA (254 nucleotides) under uncultured bacterium. RNAcentral's name for it is "partial 16S ribosomal RNA". It matches the Rfam family "Bacterial small subunit ribosomal RNA", at positions 524 to 776 of the family's 1533-position model. The record is from RNAcentral.
UACGUAGGGUGCGAGCGUUGUCCGGAAUUAUUGGGCGUAAAGAGCUCGUAGGCGGUCUGUCGCGUCGGUCGUGAAAACUUGGGGCUUAACCCUGAGCUUGCGGUCGAUACGGGCAUGACUGGAGUUCGGCAGGGGAGACUGGAAUUCUUGGUGUAGCGGUGAAAUGCGUAGAUAUCAAGAGGAACACCUGAGGUGAAGACGGGUUGCUGGGCUGACACUGACGCUGAGGCGCGAAAGCCAGGGGAGCAAACGGG